CCUACGGGUGGCUGCAGUGGGGAAUAUUGCACAAUGGGCGCAAGCCUGAUGCAGCCAUGCCGCGUGUGUGAGGAAGGCCUUCGGGUUGUAAAGCACUUUCAGCGGGGAGGAAGGCGUUAAGGUUAAUAACCUUGGCGAUUGACGUUACCCGCAGGAGAAGCACCGGCUAACUCCGUGCCAGCAGCCGCGGUAAUACGGAGGGUGCAAGCGUUAAUCGGAAUUACUGGGCGUAAAGCGCACGCAGGCGGUCUGUCAAGUCGGAUGUGAAAUCCCCGGGCUCAACCUGGGAACUGCAUUCGAAACUGGCAGGCUAGAGUCUUGUAGAGGGGGGUAGAAUUCCAGGUGUAGCGGUGAAAUGCGUAGAGAUCUGGAGGAAUACCGGUGGCGAAGGCGGCCCCCUGGACAAAGACUGACGCUCAGGUGCGAAAGCGUGGGGAGCAAACAGGAUUAGAUACCCGAGUAGUC
RNAcentral lists this ribosomal RNA (465 nucleotides) under uncultured Klebsiella sp. RNAcentral describes it as "bacterial SSU rRNA". It matches the Rfam family "Bacterial small subunit ribosomal RNA", at positions 338 to 795 of the family's 1533-position model. Lineage: Bacteria; Pseudomonadati; Pseudomonadota; Gammaproteobacteria; Enterobacterales; Enterobacteriaceae. The record is from RNAcentral.